This 69-nucleotide transfer RNA is filed under the name Marmota monax (woodchuck). It matches the Rfam family "tRNA". From Rfam's summary of the family: Transfer RNA (tRNA) molecules are approximately 80 nucleotides in length. Their secondary structure includes four short double-helical elements and three loops (D, anti-codon, and T loops). The record is from Rfam by way of RNAcentral. Lineage: Eukaryota; Metazoa; Chordata; Mammalia; Rodentia; Sciuridae. RNAcentral also lists the same sequence under 2 other names.
GGGGUUGUAGCUCAGUGGCAGAGCACUUGCCUCGCAUGCAUGAGGCACUGGGUUCAAUCCUCAGCCCCA